Molecule: long non-coding RNA, 1704 nt
Filed under: Homo sapiens (human)
Lineage: Eukaryota; Metazoa; Chordata; Mammalia; Primates; Hominidae
Description: HSALNT0121779
Source: RNAcentral
GUGUGACCAUAUGGCUGGAGGAGGCUGGAAUUGUUUAUUUCCUUUGUUCCACAGGAAGACUAGAGCCAGCUGGAGUUGGUAAUUUUACUUCCUCCAAGUUCGUUAGGCACUGAUGAAACCCCAGCAGUUUAGGUUCUGGUUAAAUAGUUUCUCCUGAGGGCAGACUUUGUUAAGAAGAAUACAAUGCUCUGGCAUAUUUCAAAAUGGCACUUUUCCCUCCCUUGCUGUAAGCAUGGGGGCAUUUUUAAAAAUCUGCUAUUUGCUUUGAUAAACUGGUGGAGCUCUAGCAGGUAAAACUCGCAAAAGUAGGGGGCCCCUCAAUAACUGAAUCCCUCUGAAGUUUCAAACUCUCUGACUUGUCCACAUUGAGCUUCCAGCAAUUUGUUAAUUACAGUUCAGGUUUUUCCAGUUUGGCACUGGUUCCCUUGGAGGUUUCUGCUCAUGGGUUUCUGCUCUGUCAAAAGACACCGAAGGUCGUCGACACAGCAUCCAAAAAUGCUUCCUGGGGAAGAUGGACCAAGACGCUGCCGCGACAGGCUCCAAGAGGAAGAGUGGUAGCAGGCUAUAACACAGAGGAUAAUCUUGUCUCCAAAAGAGCCAUUGCCAGGGCCAUUGUCCUGAAAACGCACAAAAUGCAGCAUGUCUGAACUGGAAGAACGUUUAGAGCUUUUUCAGUCCAACUUCUCAGAUUGGAAGUGGAACCUCAGACAAGUGUUUGGGCCAAUAAUUCAACGCAGUGUAGCAGAUAAAGGACACGAACCGAGGUUUCCAGUCCUCGGUCUUGUGAUUCCACUAAACUACUCCUAAUUGAAGAAGAGAUGGAGAGAUUAUAAAGGAUUCAUCUGCUGCUUUACAUCGACUCUGACAAUCCAACACUAAAUUGUUUCUCUGUGUAGCAGAUGCUGUUGGCACCUCACCGAGAUUUCUUCAGCACUCACAGUUCCCACGCUCUGUGCUGCUGGCUUCCUCUGGGAAGUGUCUACAACUCUUGGCCUGAGGGCUUUCAGGAGAUGCCUCUAGGAGAGGCUCUCAGCCAAUGAUGGAUAGAGAUGUUGUGCUUUAGAGUGGGACAAUUCUGAGAUGAGUUUGACACCAUCUCCCGGAUGCCCCGGGGGGACUGAGCCCCAGGUGCUUACAGCAGCAACCUGCCCAUCAAUGCAUGCUCUUUGGGCUUCAUUCUCUUUGCUGUCUCACUUCCAUACUCCCCGAGGUAGGCAGAAUAACCCCCAAAGAUGACCCUACCCUAGUCUCCAGGACUUCUGAGUCUGUUAGCUUACAUGGCAAAAGGGACUUCGAAGAUGUGAUUAAGGUUAUGGAACUUGAGACAGGGAUAUUGGAUUAUCUAGGUGGGCCCAAUCUACUGUCAUGGGUCUUGGGAAGCUGAGAAUCUUUUCUGGCUGGUGAGAGAGAUGACGGAAAAAGGGUGAGAGAGAUGCAAUGUUGUUGGCUUUGAUGAUGGAGGAAGGGGGCCAUGAGCCAGGGGAUGCAGGUGGCCUUGAGAGGCUGGAAAAGGCAAGGGCUGCCUACUCCUUCAUCCUAUCUCAGUGAGGUCAACAUUGGAUUUCUGAUCUAAGAACUGUAAAUUAAUAAAUGUGUCUUGUUUUAAGCCAGCAAAUGUGUGAUGUUUUGGCAACAAUAGAAAUUUAAUUCACUCCUCUCUUCAUUUUGGAAUUACCUGUGAAAUAAACCGUUUAUAUUCAAAGC